RNAcentral lists this non-coding RNA (77 nucleotides) under unclassified sequences. RNAcentral describes it as "chrB RNA". It matches the Rfam family "chrB-a RNA". The record is from RNAcentral.
GGCACGGGGGUUGCGAUCCCCCCGCGAGGCGACAUGCCAAAGUAUCGCGUCCUGAUUUCACAAAGGGCGCCCGCAUG